Molecule: ribosomal RNA, 380 nt
Filed under: uncultured bacterium
Lineage: Bacteria
Description: partial 16S ribosomal RNA
Rfam family: Bacterial small subunit ribosomal RNA
Source: RNAcentral
CCUACGGGUGGCAGCAGUAGGGAAUCUUCCACAAUGGGCGAAAGCCUGAUGGAGCAACGCCGCGUGGGUGAAGAAGGUCUUCGGAUCGUAAAACCCUGUUGUUCGAGAAGAAAGUGCGUGAGAGUAACUGUUCACGUUUAGUCGGUAUCUAACCAGAAUGCAACGGCUAACUACGUGCCAGCAGCCGCGGUAAUACGUAGGUGGCAAGCGUUAUCCGGUUUUAUUGGGGUUAAUGGGCACGCAGGCGGUCGUUUCAGUCUAAUGUGAAAGCCUUGGGCUUAACCGGAGUAGUGCAUUGGAAACUGGGAGACUUGAGUGCAGAAGAGGAGAGUGGAACUCGAGGUGUAGCGGUGAAAUGCAUAGAUAUAUGGAAGAACACC